Molecule: non-coding RNA, 75 nt
Organism: Gymnothorax javanicus (giant moray)
Lineage: Eukaryota; Metazoa; Chordata; Actinopteri; Anguilliformes; Muraenidae
Source: the annotation of a GenBank genome assembly
GUUGAAAUGGCUUAGUCGGUGGCGCUUUAGACUCAGGAUCUGAAGAUUCCUGGUUUGAUCCUGGUUUUCGGAACA